UGAAUACGAGACGCUAAGGCGUCGAAGUAGUGUAUGUCAUACUUCCAAGAAAAGCUUGCACUGUCAUAAGUAAAAAAUGCCUGUACCAUAACCGACACAGGUGGGUAGGUAGAGUAUACUAAGGGGCGCGAGAUAACUCUCUCUAAGGAACUCGGCAAAAUAACUCCGUAACUUCGGGAGAAGGAGUACCUUAUUCUAUAAGGUUGCAAUAACAAGAUCCAAGCAACUGUUUAUCAAAAACACAGGUCUCCGCUAAGUCGUAAGACGAUGUAUGGGGGCUGACGCCUGCCCAGUGCCAGAAGGUUAAAGAAGUCGGUUAGCAUUAGCGAAGCUGGUAACUGAAGCCCUGGUGAACGGCGGCCGUAACGAUAACGGUCCUAAGGUAGCGAAAUUCCUUGUCGGGUAAGUUCCGACCCGCACGAAAGGCGUAAUGAUUUGGAUACUGUCUCGGAGAGGGGCUCGGUGAAAUAGACUUGUCUGUGAAGAUGCGGACUACCUGCACCAGGACAGAAAGACCCUAUGAAGCUUUACUGUAACUUGAAAUUGAAAUUGGACUUUAUUCGCGCAGUAUAGGUGGGAGGUGUUGAUUAUAAUCUUGCGGGAUUAUUGGAGCCAUCAGUGGGAUACCACUCUUGUAAUGUUAGAUUUCUAACUUUGAAUCAUUAUCUGGUCAAAGGACAGUUUCAGGCGGGCAGUUUGACUGGGGCGGUCGCCUCCCAAACGGUAACGGAGGCGUACAAAGGUUUCCUCUGAACGGGUAGAAAUCGUAUCUAGAGUGUAAAGGCAUAAGGAAGCUUGACUGUGAGACCUACAAGUCGAACAGGGACGAAAGUCGGUCUUAGUGAUCUGACGGUACUGAGUGGAAAGGCCGUCACUCAACGGAUAAAAGUUACUCUAAGGAUAACAGGCUGAUCUCCCCCAAGAGUUCACAUCGACGGGGAGGUUUGGCACCUCGAUGUCGGCUCAUCGCAUCCUGGGGCGGUAGUACGUCCCAAGGGUUGGGCUGUUCGCCCAUGAAAGCGGUACGCGAGCUGGGUUCAGAACGUCGUGAGACAGUUCGGUCCAUAUCCGGUGUAGGCGUUAGAAUAUUGAGAGGAGCCUUCUUUAGUACGAGAGGACCGAGAAGGACAUACCUCUGGUGUACCAGUUAUCGUGCCAACGGUAAACGCUGGGUAGCUAUGUAUGGAGUGGAUAACCGCUGAAAGCAUCUAAGUGGGAAGCCCACCUCAAGAUAAGUAUUCUCGU
RNAcentral lists this ribosomal RNA (1245 nucleotides) under metagenome. RNAcentral's name for it is "bacterial LSU rRNA". It matches the Rfam family "Bacterial large subunit ribosomal RNA", at positions 1564 to 2817 of the family's 2925-position model. The record is from RNAcentral.